RNAcentral lists this ribosomal RNA (481 nucleotides) under uncultured bacterium. Its description in RNAcentral is "bacterial SSU rRNA". It matches the Rfam family "Bacterial small subunit ribosomal RNA", at positions 23 to 518 of the family's 1533-position model. The record is from RNAcentral.
CUCAGGAUGAACGCUGGCGGCGUGCCUAAUACAUGCAAGUCGAAUGGUAGUAGCAAUACAAACCAUGGCGAACGGGUGAGUAACACGUAGGUAACCUGUCUUUAAGACGAGGAUAACCAUUGGAAACGAUGGAUAAUACUGGAUAGGACAUCACAAAGGGCAUCCUUAGAUGUUUAAAGAUUAUUAUGUCACUUAGAGAGGGGCCUGCGGCGCAUUAGCUAGUUGGUGAGGUAAAAGCCCACCAAGGCGAUGAUGCGUAGCCGGACUGAGAGGUUGAACGGCCACAAUGGAACUGAGAACGGUCCAUACUCCUACGGGAGGCAGCAGUAGGGAAUUUUCGGCAAUGGGCGCAAGCCUGAACCCGAGCAACGCCGCGUGAACGAAGAAGUUAUUCGUAAUGUAAAGUUCUUUUAUCUGGGAAGAAAAACAAAUUGACGGUACCAGAUGAAUAAGCUCCGGCUAACUACGUGCCAGCAGCCGC